Molecule: ribosomal RNA, 253 nt
Filed under: uncultured bacterium
Lineage: Bacteria
Description: partial 16S ribosomal RNA
Rfam family: Bacterial small subunit ribosomal RNA
Source: RNAcentral
UACAGAGGGGGCAAGCGUUGUUCGGAAUUACUGGGCGUAAAGGGCGCGUAGGUGGUUUGAUAAAGGUGUGGUGAAAGUCCGGGGCUCAACCCCGGAUCUGCCGUGCCGACUGUCAAACUCGAGGGCUGUAGAGGCAGACGGAAUUCCGGGUGUAGCGGUGGAAUGCGUAGAGAUCCGGAGGAAGACCGGUGGCGAAGGCGGUCUGCUGGGCAGUUUCUGACACUGAGGCGCGACAGCGUGGGGAGCAAACAGG